GACGAACGCUGGCGGCGUGCUUAACACAUGCAAGUCGAGCGGUAAGGCCUUUCGGGGUACACGAGCGGCGAACGGGUGAGUAACACGUGGUGGUUUUGCCCGGCCCUUCGGGUUAAGCCUGGGAACCGGGUCCUAAUACGGAUAAUGACUCCUAUCCCCUGGUGGGGGGUGGGAAGGUUUAAUCGGUGCAGGAUGGGCCCGCGGCCUAUCAGCUGGUUGGUGGGGUAUUGGCCUACCAAGGCGACGACGGGUAGCCGACCUGAGAGGGUGACCGGCCACACUGGGACUGAGACACGGCCCAGACUCCUACGGGAGGCAGCAGUGGGGAAUAUUGCACAAUGGGCGAAAGCCUGAUGCAGCGACGCCGCGUGAGGGAUGACGGCCUUCGGGUUGUAAACCUCUUUCAGCAGGGACGAAGCGCAAGUGACGGUACCUGCAGAAGAAGCACCGGCUAACUACGUG
Molecule: ribosomal RNA, 462 nt
Filed under: uncultured bacterium
Lineage: Bacteria
Description: partial 16S ribosomal RNA
Rfam family: Bacterial small subunit ribosomal RNA
Source: RNAcentral